Molecule: ribosomal RNA, 513 nt
Filed under: uncultured bacterium
Lineage: Bacteria
Description: bacterial SSU rRNA
Rfam family: Bacterial small subunit ribosomal RNA
Source: RNAcentral
UACGGGAGGCAGCAGUUAGGAAUCUUCCACAAUGGGCGAAAGCCUGAUGGAGCGACACCGCGUGAGGGAUGAAGGCCCUAGGGUCGUAAACCUCUAAAAGAGGGACGAUAAUGACGGUACCUCUUGAGAAGCACCGGCUAACUCCGUGCCAGCAGCCGCGGUAAUACGGAGGGUGCAAGCGUUAUCCGGAAUCACUGGGCGUAAAGGGCGCGUAGGCGGUCUGUUAAGUCCGAUGUCAAAUCCCGGGGCUCAACCCCGGAUCGGCGUUGGAUACUGGCAGGCUUGACGGCUGGAGAGGCGAGUAGAAUUACCAGUGUAGCGGUGGAAUGCGUAGAUACUGGUAGGAAUACCCAUUGCGAAGGCAGCUCGCUGGACAGCACGUGACGCUGAGGCGCGAAAGUGUGGGGAGCAAACCGGAUUAGAUACCCGGGUAGUCCACACCCUAAACGAUGCAUACUUGGUGUUGGCCCGUUGGGGUCAGCGCCGGAGCUAACGCGUUAAGUAUGCCGCCUG